This 279-nucleotide ribosomal RNA is filed under the name uncultured bacterium. RNAcentral describes it as "partial 16S ribosomal RNA". It matches the Rfam family "Bacterial small subunit ribosomal RNA", at positions 506 to 784 of the family's 1533-position model. The record is from RNAcentral.
UGCCAGCAGCCGCGGUAAUACGGAGGGUCCAAGCGUUAUCCGGAUUUAUUGGGUUUAAAGGGUGCGCAGGCGGAUGUUUAAGUUUCAUGUGAAAGCCCUGGGCUCAACCUGGGAAUUGCAUUCGAUACUGCUUAGCUAGAGUAUGAGAGAGGGUAGUGGAAUUCCGGGUGUAGCGGUGAAAUCCGUAGAUAUUCGGAGGAACACCAGUGGCGAAGGCGGCUUUCUGGACCGAUACUGACGCUGAGACGCGAAAGCGUGGGGAGCAAACAGGAUUAGAUA